AGGAGUCACAGUCUGUACUUUCAUGCACAUGUCCUCGAAAUGGUAAAGAAGGAGAACUUCAAGAGCAUCCUAAAUGAUGAUCCUGGGUCUUCAACAGGGCAAGAUGCAAGUUACAGUGUGGUGUGAGGUCUGUGCAUGGCGCAUGUGUCUCAAUGAUUCCUCAGCAACAUCAGACCUUCUUGAAGGAGAGCACAUGGCGAGAUUUCAUAGGCUCAACUACACUACCGAGCAGCUGAUAAUUUCUUUAUUCACAGAGGUCCGGCUUCCUUGGGAUUACUUUAAUUGGAGUUUGGCAAGCAAUAAUAAUUUAACAUGUGCCCUGGCAUGUGUUCUUGCCCCAUUUCAGAACACAGGCUACAUUCGUAGCAAAAAGAAGAGUAGUCCAGUUAUUUCAUUGUGUAUGGAAAACAACAUCAAAAUUUAGUAACUUGAAAUAUCCACAUUAAUUUUGCACUCUAUAAUUUAGAAGGUUGAGAAAUUAACUGCAGCCUACUUGUGAUUACUUACCAUUGCCUGAGCCACUCCAACUCAUUGACAGAAUCUAUGCACAUCAGCAUCUGUGUCUUACAGUAAGGUGGAGAUGGGUGGAUGUCAUUGGAGAGACUAUUGCACAGUAUUUCUUAAAGUCACUGACUUUAUAAAGUUCACAAGUGCAAAUGCUCACUGAAUGAACAAGUGACUGUUUAAGUGAUUUGCUUAAACAUGUUGCUAUGAGCAGUCCCUAAUAAGCAUGGGGUAGGGAAUGAUGGUAAGAGGGCUGUGUAGACAACCAGCAAAGAAAUGCUUCUGGUGGUGGUCAGUGAUGGAAUGAAUGUUUCUAUAACCUGAGUUAGAG
RNAcentral lists this long non-coding RNA (835 nucleotides) under Mus spicilegus (steppe mouse). Its description in RNAcentral is "lncRNA (ENSMSIG00000013635.1)". Lineage: Eukaryota; Metazoa; Chordata; Mammalia; Rodentia; Muridae. The record is from RNAcentral.